This 72-nucleotide transfer RNA is filed under the name Camelus ferus (Wild Bactrian camel). It matches the Rfam family "tRNA". From Rfam's summary of the family: Transfer RNA (tRNA) molecules are approximately 80 nucleotides in length. Their secondary structure includes four short double-helical elements and three loops (D, anti-codon, and T loops). The record is from Rfam by way of RNAcentral. Lineage: Eukaryota; Metazoa; Chordata; Mammalia; Artiodactyla; Camelidae.
GAGGGUGUAGCUCAGUGGUAGAGCAUGUGCUUAGCAUGCACGAGAUCCUGGGUUCAAUCCCCGGUUCCUCCG